AGCGAACGCUGGCGGCAGGCUUAACACAUGCAAGUCGAACGCUCAUCUUCGGAUGGGAGUGGCAGACGGGUGAGUAACACGUGGGAACGUACCCUUUGGUUCGGAAUAACUCAGGGAAACUUGAGCUAAUACCGGAUACGCCCUUUUGGGGAAAGGUUUACUGCCGAAGGAUCGGCCCGCGUCUGAUUAGCUAGUUGGUGGGGUAACGGCCUACCAAGGCGACGAUCAGUAGCUGGUCUGUGAGGAUGAUCAGCCACACUGGGACUGAGACACGGCCCAGACUCCUACGGGAGGCAGCAGUGGGGAAUAUUGGACAAUGGGCGCAAGCCUGAUCCAGCCAUGCCGCGUGAGUGAUGAAGGCCUUAGGGUUGUAAAGCUCUUUUGUCCGGGACGAUAAUGACGGUACCGGAAGAAUAAGCCCCGGCUAACUUCGUGCCAGCAGCCGCAGUAA
This 451-nucleotide ribosomal RNA is filed under the name uncultured bacterium. RNAcentral's name for it is "partial 16S ribosomal RNA". It matches the Rfam family "Bacterial small subunit ribosomal RNA", at positions 29 to 523 of the family's 1533-position model. The record is from RNAcentral.